This 490-nucleotide ribosomal RNA is filed under the name uncultured bacterium. RNAcentral's name for it is "partial 16S ribosomal RNA". It matches the Rfam family "Bacterial small subunit ribosomal RNA", at positions 30 to 507 of the family's 1533-position model. The record is from RNAcentral.
AUUGAACGCCGGCGGCAUGCCUUACACAUGCAAGUCGAACGGCAGCAUGAUCUAGCUUGCUAGAUUGAUGGCGAGUGGCGAACGGGUGAGUAAUACAUCGGCACGUGCCCUGUAGUGGGGGACAACUAGUCGAAAGAUUAGCUAAUACCGCAUACGACCUGAGGGUGAAAGUGGGGGACCGCAAGGCCUCAUGCUAUAGGAGCGGCCGAUGUCUGAUUAGCUAGUUGGUGAGGUAAAGGCUCACCAAGGCGACGAUCAGUAGCUGGUCUGAGAGGACGAUCAGCCACACUGGAACUGGGACACGGCCCAGACUCCUACGGGAGGCAGCAGUGGGGAAUUUUGGACAAUGGGCGAAAGCCUGAUCCAGCAAUGCCGCGUGUGUGAAGAAGGCCUUCGGGUUGUAAAGCACUUUUGUCCGGAAAGAAAUGGCUCUGGUUAAUACCUGGGGUCGAUGACGGUACCGGAAGAAUAAGGACCGGCUAACUACGUG